RNAcentral lists this ribosomal RNA (672 nucleotides) under uncultured Lactococcus sp. RNAcentral describes it as "bacterial SSU rRNA". It matches the Rfam family "Bacterial small subunit ribosomal RNA", at positions 56 to 714 of the family's 1533-position model. The record is from RNAcentral. Lineage: Bacteria; Bacillati; Bacillota; Bacilli; Lactobacillales; Streptococcaceae.
CGCAACAAAGACACCAGAGCUUGCUCUACCGUCUUUGUUGAGUAGCGAACGGGUGAGUAACGCGUGGGUAACCUGCCUUAUAGCGGGGGAUAACUAUUGGAAACGAUAGCUAAUACCGCAUAACAAUAGAGAUUGCAUAAUCUUUAUUUGAAAGUGCCAACUGGUACACUAUGAGAUGGACCCGCGUUGUAUUAGCUAGUUGGUAGUGUAAUGGACUACCAAGGCGAUGAUACAUAGCCGACCUGAGAGGGUGAUCGGCCACAUUGGGACUGAGACACGGCCCAAACUCCUACGGGAGGCAGCAGUAGGGAAUCUUCGGCAAUGGACGAAAGUCUGACCGAGCAACGCCGCGUGAGUGAAGAAGGUUUUCGGAUCGUAAAACUCUGUUGUUAGAGAAGAAUGUUGAUUAGAGUGGAAAAUUAAUCAAGUGACGGUAUCUAACCAGAAAGGGACGGCUAACUACGUGCCAGCAGCCGCGGUAAUACGUAGGUCCCGAGCGUUGUCCGGAUUUAUUGGGCGUAAAGCGAGCGCAGGUGGUUUAAUAAGUCUGAUGUAAAAGGCAGUGGCUCAACCAUUGUGUGCAUUGGAAACUGUUAGACUUGAGUGCAGUAGAGGAGAGUGGAAUUCCAUGUGUAGCGGUGAAAUGCGUAGAUAUAUGGAGGAACACCGGUG